This 332-nucleotide unclassified non-coding RNA is filed under the name soil metagenome. RNAcentral describes it as "partial contains 5.8S ribosomal RNA, internal transcribed spacer 2, and large subunit ribosomal RNA". The stretch from base 1 to 120 matches the Rfam family "5.8S ribosomal RNA", at positions 35 to 154 of the family's 154-position model. The record is from RNAcentral.
GAUGAAGAACGUAGCGAAAUGCGAUACGUAAUGUGAAUUGCAGAUUUCAGUGAAUCAUCGAAUCUUUGGACGCACAUUGCGCCCGCUAGUAUUCUGGCGGGCAUGCCUGUUCGAGCGUCAUUUCAACCAUCAAGCCCUAGGCUUGCGUUGGAGCCCUGCGGCUGCCGCAGGCUCCCAAAUCCAGUGGCGGGCUCGUCGUCGUACCGAGUGCAGUAAACAUCCUCGCUCAGGGAACGUGACGGGUUCUUGCCGUGAAACCCCCCACAUAUCAAGGUUGACCUCGGAUCAGGUAGGAAUACCCGCUGAACUUAAGCAUAUCAAUAAGCGGAGGA